CAUAACAACUCCUUCCGGGGCUUGGGGCUUGUUAUCGAGGUGUCCCAUCGUAGUGCAGAACUUUGGGGCCAUCAGGCCCACUAAUAAAAUAUAUUAAAAGCCCUAAAUGUAGGGUAUCAUUCCCACUUUUCCCUUCUUGUUUCCUUCUUCGACUCGCUAAUACCGUGCAUCUCUCGUCCAUUUUUCGUUGGACAAGUAACCUGAACCUCCCUCCAUUUUACGUUGGUUCGACGUGUUCCUUGGCACCUUCCUUAAUGAUUGCAUCAAUUAAAGCACCGAUUCAAAGAGGUAAAACCGGUUCCGGCAGCGUUGAAGGGUUUCUGCACUUUCUUCCAUCUUCAAGAGCGUUUUCGCCCUAUACUGUGAGAUCUACAUGGGAGAAAGAACACACAUCUAUUACGUGAUGACAAGGCAGUCGAAGAGUUUGAAAGUGACCACAAUCACACCACCAAUCAUUUAAUUUAACCGUAGAAGACAUUGGUAGGCGGUCAUCAUGUGGAGAAAACAUCUCUUGAACUUCAAAUUCAUUAUUUUCUUUUGAAUAUCAACGGACUUGGCACAAUCUCGCUUGUUGUUGAUUUUUUUUCUAAUAAUACCAUUAAUUUCCUCGGGAUAUUGGUGAUCUGCU
Molecule: long non-coding RNA, 628 nt
Organism: Vigna unguiculata (cowpea)
Lineage: Eukaryota; Viridiplantae; Streptophyta; Magnoliopsida; Fabales; Fabaceae
Source: RefSeq, a predicted model, not a curated record